RNAcentral lists this ribosomal RNA (515 nucleotides) under uncultured archaeon. Its description in RNAcentral is "bacterial SSU rRNA". It matches the Rfam family "Archaeal small subunit ribosomal RNA", at positions 345 to 859 of the family's 1478-position model. The record is from RNAcentral.
AACCUUUACACUGCACGACAGUGCGAUAGGGGGACUCCGAGUGCGAGGGCAUACAGUCCUCGCUUUUCUGUACCGUAGGGUGGUACAGGAACAAGUGCUGGGCAAGACCGGUGCCAGCCGCCGCGGUAAUACCGGCAGCACGAGUGAUGGCCGAUAUUAUUGGGCCUAAAGCGUCCGUAGCUGGCCGGCCAAGUCCGUUGGGAAAUCCACCCGCUUAACGGGUGGGCGUCCAGCGGAAACUGUCCGGCUUGGAGCCGGAGGACCUGAGGGGUACGUCCGGGGUAGGAGUGAAAUCCUGUAAUCCUGGACGGACCGCCGGUGGCGAAAGCGCCUCAGGAAGACGGACUCGACAGUGAGGGACGAAAGCUAGGGUCUCGAACCGGAUUAGAUACCCGGGUAGUCCUAGCUGUAAACAAUGUCCGCUAGGUGUGGCGCAGGCUACGAGCCUGCGCUGUGCCGUAGGGAAGCCGUGAAGCGGACCGCCUGGGAAGUACGUCUGCAAGGAUGAAACUUAA